UUUUCUUUCUUUGACUCAUUACAAAAGCCCCAAAAUCACUUUGACCUAAAUCUUUAAUUUCUCCGGUUCACCACUCCACUCAAGUUCGCAUUUCUUCUUCAAUUCUUCACUGGCGUCCGUCGUUCUCGUUCCAGCCGGCAUCCGGUCGUCGUCAGUCCUCUAUCCUCAAACACUCACAACAGCCGGCAGCCACGCGUUGAUGUCGUCAGUCCUCUGUCCUUAAGAACAACUAUUUUAUAAGAGGUAGAAGACGUUAUCUCAAGUUUUGAGAAUCAUCAAGGCGUUUAUCAUGCCAAAGAAUCCCCUUCCACUCCAGACACUUUCUCACUACAUCUCUGCAGAGUUCCUUUCCAGUGAAGAAAGCCAGAUUAAGCGCUCAAUUUAUAUUCUGUGCCUUUGUUUCCUGUUUAUUUUGGCUCUAGUCAUACGACAUCAAGGUGAUUGCCAAGUAAUAAACACCUUUGAGGGGUUUAAUGUCUUCGUGGUUUGCAUCAUGUUAUCAGUCACCGGAGUAUAUUGUGUGUUGCUGAUCAGAAACCAGCCCGAGCUUGCAGUUCUCCAGAGAUGUUAUUUCAUGCUGUCCGUUGUUUCAAUGGCAUUAGCUUUAUCAAUAUUGGGAUAUGCCUUGUUUCUGGAAAGUUUCAGGUGGGUUUAUGGAUGACUAAAUUGUGGCAAGAUGAAUAUCUCAGCUUUUCAAAUUUGAUGGAAAAGGUCUUUGUGAUUACAAGCUUCAUUGUUUUGUUGGUCUGGUUCUUGGAUUCGGAGAAAAUCUGCAUAGUUUGAAGAGACUGUACAUGUCAGAUUUCUGGUAAUUUGUAGGAGAUUUAAAGAAUGUUCUUUUUGAGCUUUUGCAUUUCCUAAUCAUCUGUAUUAGCUAGCUUUUUUAAUCUAGAAUUGAUCACGUUUGCGAAGCUAGUUAAAUGAUUGCCUUUUGAUACACCCAAUUCAAAUUGACAUGUUUUGAUUCACCAGUGAAGAAAACUCUUUUGGUAUCAUUAUCGAAACUGAAAGAUGAAAGAAAUUCUUUACGGGUAUUCAACACCUGAGAAUUUUCAUGAAACACUAAUUAUAGCAAAUAGCAAAGGAUAUAUGGGAAAAGAAAUGGAUAUCUCAAAACUAAUGGAGGAGAGGUCUGUUAUUAUUACAAUCAAAGGAAGAUC
Molecule: long non-coding RNA, 1160 nt
Organism: Pistacia vera
Lineage: Eukaryota; Viridiplantae; Streptophyta; Magnoliopsida; Sapindales; Anacardiaceae
Exons: 3
Source: RefSeq, a predicted model, not a curated record